RNAcentral lists this ribosomal RNA (114 nucleotides) under Choloepus hoffmanni (Hoffmann's two-fingered sloth). Lineage: Eukaryota; Metazoa; Chordata; Mammalia; Pilosa; Megalonychidae. The record is from RNAcentral.
GCUGCCACAGCACGCUGAAUGUGCGUGCCUCAUCUGAUGUCACAAGCUAAGCAGGCUCAGGCCUGGUUAGUAGCUGGAUGGGAGACCGCCCAGGAACAGCGAGUGUUCAAAACA